CCUACGUGAGGCAGCAGUGGGGAAUAUUGGGCAAUGGGCGCAAGCCUGACCCAGCAACGCCGCGUGAAGGAAGAAGGCUUUCGGGUUGUAAACUUCUUUUCUCAGGGACGAAGCAAGUGACGGUACCUGAGGAAUAAGCCACGGGUAACUACGUGCCAGCAGCCGCGGUAAUACGUAGGUGGCAAGCGUUAUCCGGAUUUACUGGGUGUAAAGGGCGUGUAGGCGGGAAAGCAAGUCAGAUGUGAAAACCAUGGGCUCAACCUGUGGCCUGCAUUUGAAACUGUUUUUCUUGAGUACUGGAGAGGCAGACGGAAUUCCUAGUGUAGCGGUGAAAUGCGUAGAUAUUAGGAGGAACACCAGUGGCGAAGGCGGUCUGCUGGACAGCAACUGACGCUGAGGCGCGAAAGCGUGGGGAGCAAACAGGAUUAGAUACCCGAGUAGUC
Molecule: ribosomal RNA, 443 nt
Filed under: uncultured bacterium
Lineage: Bacteria
Description: partial 16S ribosomal RNA
Rfam family: Bacterial small subunit ribosomal RNA
Source: RNAcentral